This 497-nucleotide ribosomal RNA is filed under the name uncultured bacterium. RNAcentral describes it as "partial 16S ribosomal RNA". It matches the Rfam family "Bacterial small subunit ribosomal RNA", at positions 28 to 507 of the family's 1533-position model. The record is from RNAcentral.
GAUGAACGCUGGCGGCGUGCUUAAUACAUGCAAGUCGAGCGAACGGACGAGAAGUUUGCUUCUCUGAUGUUAGCGGCGGACGGGUGAGUAACAAGUGGAUAACCUACCUAUAAGACUGGGAUCACUUCGGGAAACCGUAGCUAAUACUGGAUAAUAUUUUGAACCGCAUGGUUCAAAAGUGAAAGACGGUCUUGCUGUCACUUAUAGAUGGAUCCGCGCUGCAUUAGCUAGUUGGUAAGGUAACGGCUUACCACGGCAACGAUGCAUAGCCGACCUGAGAGGGUGGUAGGCCACACUGGAACUGAUACACGGACCACGCUCCUUCGGGAGGCAGCAGGAGCGAAUCUUCCGCAAUGGGCGGAAACCUGCCGAAACAACCCCGCGUGAGUGAUGAAGGUCUUCGGGUCGUAAAACACGGUUAUUAGGGAAGAACAUAUGUCUAAGUAACUGUACACCUCUUGACGGUACCUAAUCAGAAAGCCACGGCUAACUACGUG